GGUGGAUGAGAAUUGGGACAGUGAUUAGCUCAGUAGUUUGGGAAGCCACAUCCUUUCUAUGUCAAGACACUCAAGAUGGGUAAAUUAAACCAAUUUUUUAUAAUUGAAAGCACAGUGUAUUUUACUAAAACAUGACACUUAAGAUUUUUGCAAUAGUUGCAUCUUUUAGGGAAGAAAACGAUAUAGAAGGUGCAGCAGUCUGUAAAAAAAUCUGAGAAUUUGGUGAAAAAAAAAAGAUUGUAAUUCAGUUGUGCUAUUUUGGCAUCCUUAGCAAUUUUAUUAUGUUGAUGAAAUGAUUGAAUUCUCUGUUCCCAUCUGUUCUAAA
RNAcentral lists this unclassified non-coding RNA (325 nucleotides) under Hevea brasiliensis (rubber tree). Lineage: Eukaryota; Viridiplantae; Streptophyta; Magnoliopsida; Malpighiales; Euphorbiaceae. The record is from RNAcentral.